UGAGGAAGAUAAUGACGGUACUCAACAAGGAAGUGACGGCUAACURCGUGCCAGCAGCCGCGGUAAAACGUAGGUCACAAGCGUUGUCCGGAAUUACUGGGUGUAAAGGGAGCGCAGGCGGGAAGACAAGUUGGAAGUGAAAUCYAUGGGCUCAACCCAUAAACUGCUUUCAAAACUGUUUUUCUUGAGUAGUGCAGAGGUAGGCGGAAUUCCCGGUGUAGCGGUGGAAUGCGUAGAUAUCGGGAGGAACACCAGUGGCGAAGGCGGCCUACUGGGCACCAACUGACGCUGAGGCUCGAAAGUGUGGGUAGCAAACAGGAUUAGAUACCCUGGUAGUCCACACCGUAAACGAUGAUUACUAGGUGUUGGAGGAUUGACCCCUUCAGUGCCGCAGUUAACACAAUAAGUAAUCCACCUGGGGAGUACGACCGCAAGGUUGAAACUCAAAGGAAUUGACGGGGGCCCGCACAAGCAGUGGAGUAUGUGGUUUAAUUCGACGCAACGCGAAGAACCUUACCAAGUCUUGACAUCCCUUGACGAACAUAGAAAUAUGUUUUCUCUUCGGAGCAAGGAGACAGGUGGUGCAUGGUUGUCGUCAGCUCGUGUCGUGAGAUGUUGGGUUAAGUCCCGCAACGAGCGCAACCCUUAUGGUCAGUUACUACGCAAGAGGACUCUGGCCAGACUGCCGUUGACAAA
Molecule: ribosomal RNA, 696 nt
Filed under: Faecalibacterium prausnitzii
Lineage: Bacteria; Bacillati; Bacillota; Clostridia; Eubacteriales; Oscillospiraceae
Description: bacterial SSU rRNA
Rfam family: Bacterial small subunit ribosomal RNA
Source: RNAcentral